Ornithodoros turicata is the source of this 290-nucleotide long non-coding RNA. RefSeq lists it as uncharacterized. The record is from RefSeq and is a predicted model, not a curated record. The transcript is spliced from 3 exons. Lineage: Eukaryota; Metazoa; Arthropoda; Arachnida; Ixodida; Argasidae.
CUUGUGGGUGCGAGGCGGAAAGAGCAUAGCCAGCAGCGUAAAGCUACAAGUGGUGGUCAAGAUUUCCAGCGUGAGAUACUUCGUAUCCUGCAUAUCAUCAGGUUAACAGUGGAACACCACACAAAACAGUUGGAGAGCAUAGCCCAGCGUUCAGCUGUAGAGGAGGAAGAAACUCCUGUUCUCGUGAAGCCUUGUACCUCACCUGAUGAGCUUGUUGAAUUUGACAACGUGCUUGCAGCAUCAUCGGACGCCAGGAGCAAACUUAAGAGGCUCCUGCAGAGCCUCGGAGG